CAAGAGAGGAGACCAAGGGGGAUGGGUAGCAGUGGCUGCCUUGGAGAGUCAUCUGUGCUGUCACUACAGGGAUCAGGGAAACAGCUGCUUGACAGAGACUUAACUAGCUGCUAUAGGAAAAAGAGUGUACAGCAGUUGUUUGGAAAUUCAAGGAUUUUUGAGACACUCCACAGAUGUCCAUGAGUAUAGGAAGGAACAGAGGAAAACUCCACAGUUCUGAAAGGACAUCCUUGUAUGGUUUGGAUGCAAUGGCUUCCAUUCCUUCACUGAAGCUCAUACAAUGCCAUUGCACUGUGCCUGCACAAAAAGGAUCUUCAUGCUCCAGUUCAGACAGAUAUUUGGUUCAUCAUGGUUUUCUAUUUUUUGUUUUUCAGCAAAUCAAAUAUUUUACAGUCACAAUUGGCUACAGAGGGAAUAGGAGACUGACAAAAAUCACCCCUUCUCUGUAGUGUAUGUUUGCCACUACACAUGCACUUUAUUAGACUGGAUGUUGGCCACUAUGUGUAACAACUUUUCUUAGGUUAAAGUGCAGAUAUGGGUCUUAAAACAUGCAUCCUCUCUGGAUUUAAUACAUACUCCUGUCCCCUUUUAGAGCUGUAAUGAUGUAGUCUGUCACUAGGUGCCAAGCAAAGAUGCUGUUUCUUUCAUCAUUGUGGCCCAUCAACUUUGGAACGCCCUCUCGGAAGAGCUCUGCUAUGCAGCCUCCUUUAGGGUCUUUAAGAAACUGUUGAAGAACCAUCUUUUUGGAGAGGCAUUUUAACAUUUUAGCUGUAAUUAUUUGGUGGAUUUUUACCUUUAACUGCUAAUAUUUUAAUCUGUAUUUUAAAAUUUUGGUUAAAACUGAUUUGUUUUAGUUUUGUUUCUAUUUAUUUAUUUUUUUAAAAGUAUUGCUUUAUAGUAUACUAAUUUUGCUUUUAUUGACUUUACUGCUCAUGAUGGCUAACAGUGUACUGGAGGGGAGGGGCAUAAAUAUUUUAAAUAAAUAAAACAUCACCUUCAGCAGCA
Long non-coding RNA from Hemicordylus capensis (graceful crag lizard), 1005 nucleotides. RefSeq lists it as uncharacterized. Lineage: Eukaryota; Metazoa; Chordata; Lepidosauria; Squamata; Cordylidae. The transcript has 2 exons. The record is from RefSeq and is a predicted model, not a curated record.